RNAcentral lists this ribosomal RNA (252 nucleotides) under uncultured bacterium. RNAcentral's name for it is "partial 16S ribosomal RNA". It matches the Rfam family "Bacterial small subunit ribosomal RNA", at positions 524 to 776 of the family's 1533-position model. The record is from RNAcentral.
UACGUAGGGUGCAAGCGUUGUCCGGAAUUAUUGGGCGUAAAGAGCUCGUAGGCGGUUUGUCGCGUCGGCUGUGAAAACCUGGGCUCAACCCCGGGCCUGCAGCCGAUACGGGCAGGCUCGAGUUCGGUAGGGGAGACUGGAAUUCCUGGUGUAGCGGUGAAAUGCGCAGAUAUCAGGAGGAACACCGGUGGCGAAGGCGGGUCUCUGGGCCGAUACUGACGCUGAGGAGCGAAAGCGUGGGGAGCGAACAGG